GACGAACGCUGGCGGCGUGCUUAACACAUGCAAGUCGAGCGGUAAGGCCCUUUCGGGGGUACGACGAGCGGCGAACGGGUGAGUAACACGUGGGUGGACCUGCCCUCCAGCUCUGGGAGUAAGCCUGGGAAACCGGGGUACUAAUACCGGAUAUGACUCCAUGACGCAUGUUGUGGGGUGGAAAGCCUUGUGCGGCUGAGGAUGGGCCCGCGGCCUAUCAGCUUGUUGGUGGGGUGAUGGCCUACCAAGGCGACGACGGGUAGCCGGCCUGAGAGGGCGACCGGCCACACUGGGACUGAGACACGGCCCAGACUCCUACGGGAGGCAGUAGUGGGGAAUCUUGCGCAAUGGGCGAAAGCCUGACGCAGCGACGCCGCGUGAGGGAUGACGGCCU
RNAcentral lists this ribosomal RNA (394 nucleotides) under uncultured bacterium. RNAcentral's name for it is "bacterial SSU rRNA". It matches the Rfam family "Bacterial small subunit ribosomal RNA", at positions 28 to 417 of the family's 1533-position model. The record is from RNAcentral.